RNAcentral lists this ribosomal RNA (1479 nucleotides) under uncultured bacterium. Its description in RNAcentral is "bacterial SSU rRNA". It matches the Rfam family "Bacterial small subunit ribosomal RNA". The record is from RNAcentral.
ACGGAGAGUUUGAUCCUGGCUCAGGAUGAACGCUGGCGGCGUGCUUAACACAUGCAAGUCGAACGAACCUUCGGGUUAGUGGCGGACGGGUGAGUAACGCGUGAGAAUCUGCCCUCAGGAGGGGGAUAACGGUUGGAAACGACCGCUAAUACCCCAUAUGCCGCGAGGUGAAAUGAAUUUCGCCUGAGGAUGAGCUCGCGUCUGAUUAGCUAGUUGGUGGGGUAAAGGCCUACCAAGGCAUCGAUCAGUAGCUGGUCUGAGAGGAUGAUCAGCCACACUGGGACUGAGACACGGCCCAGACUCCUACGGGAGGCAGCAGUGGGGAAUUUUCCGCAAUGGGCGAAAGCCUGACGGAGCAACGCCGCGUGAGGGAUGAAGGCCUCUGGGCUGUAAACCUCUUUUAUCAAGGAAGAAGAUCUGACGGUACUUGAUGAAUAAGCCACGGCUAAUUCCGUGCCAGCAGCCGCGGUAAUACGGGAGUGGCAAGCGUUAUCCGGAAUUAUUGGGCGUAAAGCGUCCGCAGGCGGCCCUUCAAGUCUGCUGUUAAAAAGUGGAGCUUAACUCCAUCAUGGCAGUGGAAACUGUUGGGCUUGAGUGUGGUAGGGGCAGAGGGAAUUCCCGGUGUAGCGGUGAAAUGCGUAGAUAUCGGGAAGAACACCAGUGGCGAAGGCGCUCUGCUGGGCCAUCACUGACGCUCAUGGACGAAAGCCAGGGGAGCGAAAGGGAUUAGAUACCCCUGUAGUCCUGGCCGUAAACGAUGAACACUAGGUGUCGGGGGAAUCGACCCCCUCGGUGUCGUAGCCAACGCGUUAAGUGUUCCGCCUGGGGAGUACGCACGCAAGUGUGAAACUCAAAGGAAUUGACGGGGGCCCGCACAAGCGGUGGAGUAUGUGGUUUAAUUCGAUGCAACGCGAAGAACCUUACCAGGGUUUGACAUCCUGCGAAUCUCUUGGAAACGAGAGAGUGCCUUCGGGAACGCAGUGACAGGUGGUGCAUGGCUGUCGUCAGCUCGUGUCGUGAGAUGUUGGGUUAAGUCCCGCAACGAGCGCAACCCACGUCUUUAGUUGCCAGCAUUUAGUUGGGCACUCUAGAGAGACCGCCGGUGAUAAACCGGAGGAAGGUGUGGAUGACGUCAAGUCAUCAUGCCCCUUACAUCCUGGGCUACACACGUACUACAAUGCUACGGACAAAGGGCAGCAAGUUCGCGAGGACAAGCAAAUCCCAUAAACCGUGGCUCAGUUCAGAUCGUAGGCUGCAACUCGCCUACGUGAAGGAGGAAUCGCUAGUAAUCGCAGGUCAGCAUACUGCGGUGAAUACGUUCCCGGGCCUUGUACACACCGCCCGUCACACCAUGGAAGUUGGCCACGCCCGAAGCCGUUACUCCAACCCUCGGGAGGAGGACGUCGAAGGUGGGGCUGAUGACUGGGGUGAAGUCGUAACAAGGUAUCCGUACCGGAAGGUGCGGAUGGAUCACCUCCU